CAGCAGCCGCGGUAAAACGUAGGUGGCAAGCGUUGUCCGGAAUUAUUGGGCGUAAAGGGCUCGCAGGCGGUUUCUUAAGUCUGAUGUGAAAGCCCCCGGCUCAACCCGGGAACUGCAUUCAAUACUGCAUUACUUGAAUUCGGUAGAGGUUGGUAGAAUUCCCAGUGUAGAGGUGAAAUUCGUAGAGAUUGGGAAGAAUACCCGUGGCGAAGGCGGCGACCUGGUCCUUGACUGACGCUGAGGCGCGAAAGCGUGGGGAGCAAACAGGAUUAGAUACCCCCGUAGUCCCUGUCUCUUAUAU
RNAcentral lists this ribosomal RNA (301 nucleotides) under uncultured bacterium. RNAcentral describes it as "partial 16S ribosomal RNA". It matches the Rfam family "Bacterial small subunit ribosomal RNA", at positions 509 to 809 of the family's 1533-position model. The record is from RNAcentral.